Ictalurus punctatus (channel catfish) is the source of this 1502-nucleotide long non-coding RNA. Lineage: Eukaryota; Metazoa; Chordata; Actinopteri; Siluriformes; Ictaluridae. The record is from Ensembl.
GAGUUUCAGCUCCGUCUGUGGAAAAAAAAUCUGUUAACUUUCUGCUGCGUGAAUGAGGAGGCUAAUAUGCGGCUGAUGAACAGAAUGAAAUUGUGCACAUCACUCGAGGUCUUCACAGUAUCAAUCCUUGAAGAAACAUCACAGAACUCGUUGUUGACACCGAGGGCAAAGGUGAUCCAUUAUUAUCUUCGACAUUACCUGCCCAGUCACUGUGUGUUUUAUGGUUAACUGGUUUGUGAACGUGUGUUGCCUUGCGCAGUAGAUUUCCUGAUUGUUAACUUUCUUCUACUGCAAAGGUUGCUGCGUGACUCAUAUUUUUUCCUCUGUGAUAUCGAUGUGCAUCAAGGCUUUCUAUUGAGUUCAUUGCGAGGAUUCAUUGUCCUUGUAAUGGCUGCAGUUUAUGGAUUUGUCUCAGCUUGAGAUGGAUUACUAUCACCGUGUUUUCUUUUACUACAGCAGAGCAGCACCGAGUUUGGAAAUAGUUUGAACUUGGUAGUUGGAGUGUUUUUUUUUGUUUUGUUUUUUUUUUGCACUUUAAUUAGAUGAAAGCCUUGUACAAGGAAAAAAUCACCGACGGGGUGGUGUGGUGAAACCUGACAUGAAUACGAGUUACUGUUAGAACCUCAGAGUUGAUUAUUUUCCUAUGAGAAGUGUUUUAUUCAUCUUGUACCACAGAAAAUACCAACAGUUAUGAUUUGUUAUUCAUUAAAUGUAUAUUUAUUAAAAUGAUGGCAUUGUUUUAAUCCAUUUCUAGUUAGAUGUACACUUGCAUUUGGCAGACGCCCUUAUCCGGUGCGACAUACAUUUAUCUCAUCUAUAUAUCUGAGCAGUUGAGGGUUAAGGGCCUCGCUCAAGCGCCCAACAGUGGCAGCUUGGCCAAUUAAUAGUCCAGCAUCUUAGCCACGGAGCUACCACUGCCCCAAAAAAUGUUCAUUGCUUUGCAAUGUCUGUGGAAGACGUUUGGGAUAAUAUAGGAGAACUAAGCACUUCAUUCCCUGCUGAAAUUCAUUAUAUAUCUUUCCUCAUGUUUUUAAUUUUUUUAAGUGAAUACUCUAGAGGUACUGUCCAGUGCUGAAACUCUUUUCAUCCGUAUUAUGGAGGUAUUCUUAAUAAAAUGUUGGCGUAGACCCACCUACUUUAUAGUAAAAAAAAAAAACGGUUGGGAUGUUUACAGGGCCAGGCUUGAUGUAAAUGCCUACGUAUGUCGAUGAGAAGUUUCAUUUUUUUGACAAGCUUUCCUACAUCUCUCUGCCGUUCUCCCAUAUCAAGGUUGUCGGAGUUAUUUUUGGGCGUCCUCCUGUGAUGCCGAUCCCACUCGGGCAGCCUAUUUUUACUGCCUCUCACGUCUCGGACAGAACCCACGUCACCAAGCCUGACCACACUACAAUCUAUUUUCACCUCCCUCGGGCCUCGGAAAUUUUUUUAAAAUUUUUUUUUUUUAAUACUUUUUCCCCCAGACCUUCACCAUUUAGCAGAUAUUUAUUCCCCCUGUUGUUUUCUUC